UUCCCCCUCGCGGGCCUCGGCGAGGUGCCGAGCGAUGUGGAUGAGCCUGGAGGAGGUGCUGGUGGCCAACGUGCUGUGAGUGACGAAGUGGACCAACCCCUUCUUCGUGCUACAGCGGCGCCGGGGCCACGGCAAGGGCGGAGGCCUCAAGGGUCUUCUCUUGGGCACCCUGGAUGUGGUGCUGAACUCCAGUGCCUGUGUGGCCCCUUACCACAUCCUGCAUGAGACUCAGGACUCCCAGAUCUACUGGACAGUGGCCUGUGGUAGGUGCCCAUAGUUGUGAGGGG
Molecule: long non-coding RNA, 287 nt
Filed under: Aotus nancymaae (Ma's night monkey)
Lineage: Eukaryota; Metazoa; Chordata; Mammalia; Primates; Aotidae
Description: lncRNA (ENSANAG00000038612.1)
Source: RNAcentral